RNAcentral lists this ribosomal RNA (422 nucleotides) under Verrucomicrobiota bacterium. RNAcentral describes it as "Verrucomicrobia bacterium partial 16S ribosomal RNA". It matches the Rfam family "Bacterial small subunit ribosomal RNA", at positions 355 to 776 of the family's 1533-position model. The record is from RNAcentral. Lineage: Bacteria; Pseudomonadati; Verrucomicrobiota.
UGGGGAAUUUUGCACAAUGGGCGCAAGCCUGAUGCAGCGACGCCGCGUGAGGGAUGAAGGCCUUCGGGUUGUAAACCUUUUUCGCUCAUGGUCAAGCCGCAGCUUUGGGUUGUGGUGAGGGUAGUGGGUAAAGAAGCGCCGGCUAACUACGUGCCAGCAGCCGCGGUAAUACGUAGGGCGCGAGCGUUGUCCGGAAUUAUUGGGCGUAAAGGGCUUGUAGGCGGUUGGCCGCGUCUGCCGUGAAAUCCUCUGGCUUAACUGGGGGCGUGCGGUGGGUACGGGUUGACUUGAGUGCGGUAGGGGAGACUGGAAUUCCUGGUGUAGCGGUGGAAUGCGCAGAUAUCAGGAGGAACACCGGUGGCGAAGGCGGGUCUCUGGGCCGUUACUGACGCUGAGGAGCGAAAGCAUGGGUAGCGAACAGG